GGAGAGGUGACAGAGUGGCCGAUCGUGCCGGUCUCGAAAACCGGUGAACCCGCAAGGGUUCCGAGGGUUCAAAUCCCUCCCUCUCCG
RNAcentral lists this transfer RNA (87 nucleotides) under Planctomycetaceae bacterium. Its description in RNAcentral is "tRNA-Ser". It matches the Rfam family "tRNA". From Rfam's summary of the family: Transfer RNA (tRNA) molecules are approximately 80 nucleotides in length. RNAcentral also lists the same sequence under 2 other names. The record is from RNAcentral. Lineage: Bacteria; Pseudomonadati; Planctomycetota; Planctomycetia; Planctomycetales; Planctomycetaceae.